AUACGUAGGGGGCGAGCGUUGUCCGGAUUUAUUGGGCGUAAAGGGUGCGUAGGCGGCCUUGUAAGUCAGAUGUGAAAUCUCACGGCUUAACCGUGGUAAGCAUUUGAAACUGUGAGGAUUGAGUACAGGAGAGGAGAGUGGAAUUCCUAGUGUAGCGGGGAAAUGCGUAGAUAUUAGGUGGAAUACCAGUGGCGAAGGCGGGUCUCGGGACGGUAACUGCCGCUGAGGCACGAAAGCGUGGGGAGCAAACAGAAUUAGAUACCCUGUUGGUCCACGCCGUAAACGAUGAGUGCUAGGCGUCGGGGGUCAAACCUUUGAGCGGCAGAGAACACAUUAUGCACGCCGCCUGUGGGGUUCGGUGUCGACACGUUAACACUAAAAUGUUGUCGGGG
RNAcentral lists this ribosomal RNA (392 nucleotides) under uncultured bacterium. RNAcentral's name for it is "partial 16S ribosomal RNA". It matches the Rfam family "Bacterial small subunit ribosomal RNA", at positions 523 to 918 of the family's 1533-position model. The record is from RNAcentral.